CCUACGGGAGGCAGCAGUAAGGAAUAUUGGUCAAUGGACGGAAGUCUGAACCAGCCAUGCCGCGUGGAGGAUGAAGGUCCUCUGGAUUGUAAACUUCUUUUAUAGGGGGCGAAAAAAGGGAAUUCUUUCUCGUCUGACGGUACCCUAUGAAUAAGCACCGGCUAACUCCGUGCCAGCAGCCGCGGUAAUACGGAGGGUGCAAGCGUUAUCCGGAUUCACUGGGUUUAAAGGGAGCGUAGGCGGGCAUGUAAGUCAGUGGUGAAAGCCCUCAGCUUAACUGAGGAACUGCCAUUGAUACUAUAUGUCUUGAAUGUCGUUGAGGUUUGCGGAAUAGGUCAUGUAGCGGUGAAAUGCUUAGAUAUGACCUAGAACACCUAUUGCGAAGGCAGCAGGCUAAACGAAUAUUGACGCUGAGGCUCGAAAGCGUGGGGAUCAAACAGGAUUAGAUACCCUGGUAGUCCACGCCCUAAACGAUGAUUACUCGACAUUGGCGAUACACAGUCAGUGUCUGAGCGAAAGCAUUAAGUAAUCCACCUGGGAAGUACGACCGCAAGGUUGAAACUCAAAGGAAUUGACGG
RNAcentral lists this ribosomal RNA (578 nucleotides) under uncultured Bacteroidota bacterium. Its description in RNAcentral is "bacterial SSU rRNA". It matches the Rfam family "Bacterial small subunit ribosomal RNA", at positions 338 to 916 of the family's 1533-position model. Lineage: Bacteria; Pseudomonadati; Bacteroidota. The record is from RNAcentral.